GGGCCGGUCGUCUAGUUUGGUAGGACAUUGGCUUUACGAGCCAAAGGUCGCUGGUUCAAGUCCGGCCCGGCCCACCA
RNAcentral lists this transfer RNA (77 nucleotides) under Candidatus Bathyarchaeota archaeon. Its description in RNAcentral is "tRNA-Val". It matches the Rfam family "tRNA". From Rfam's summary of the family: Transfer RNA (tRNA) molecules are approximately 80 nucleotides in length. RNAcentral also lists the same sequence under 1 other name. Lineage: Archaea; Thermoproteati; Candidatus Bathyarchaeota. The record is from RNAcentral.